Molecule: ribosomal RNA, 369 nt
Filed under: uncultured Pseudoflavonifractor sp.
Lineage: Bacteria; Bacillati; Bacillota; Clostridia; Eubacteriales; Oscillospiraceae
Description: bacterial SSU rRNA
Rfam family: Bacterial small subunit ribosomal RNA
Source: RNAcentral
UGGGGAAUAUUGGGCAAUGGGGCGCAAGCCUGACCCAGCAACGCCGCGUGAAGGAAGAAGGCUUUCGGGUUGUAAACUUCUUUUGUCAGGGACGAGUAGAAGACGGUACCUGACGAAUAAGCCACGGCUAACUACGUGCCAGCAGCCGCGGUAAUACGUAGGUGGCAAGCGUUGUCCGGAUUUACUGGGUGUAAAGGGAGUGUAGGUGGCCAUACAAGUCAGAAGUGAAAGCCCGGGGCUCAACCCCGGGACUGCUUUUGAAACUGUAAGGCUUGAGUGCAGGAGGGGUGAGUGGAAUUCCUAGUGUAGCGGUGAAAUGCGUAGAUAUUAGGAGGAACACCAGUGGCGAAGGCGGCUCACUGGACUGUA